Molecule: non-coding RNA, 220 nt
Organism: Lonchura striata (white-rumped munia)
Lineage: Eukaryota; Metazoa; Chordata; Aves; Passeriformes; Estrildidae
Source: RefSeq, a predicted model, not a curated record
UUUUCCUGGGAUUAUUUCUACUACUUCAGCAAGCUCAGUAGAGUUACUGGAUGCUCAGAAGGACUUUUUGGUCUGGACUUUACAAACCUUGGACCCUGUUCAACACAUGAUGACUGAAGGAAACAGCAGAGCUGGAGGCUUGUGUUGAGUGGGUGACGUAUGAAAGGAGACUGAGGCAGUGAGUUAGGAUGAAGCACAAAUAACAAAUAAAAGGGAAGCA